This 493-nucleotide ribosomal RNA is filed under the name uncultured bacterium. RNAcentral describes it as "partial 16S ribosomal RNA". It matches the Rfam family "Bacterial small subunit ribosomal RNA", at positions 29 to 523 of the family's 1533-position model. The record is from RNAcentral.
AUUGAACGCUGGCGGCAUGCUUUACACAUGCAAGUCGAACGGUAACAGGUUAAGCUGACGAGUGGCGAACGGGUGAGUAAUGCAUCGGAACGUGCCCGGUCGUGGGGGAUAACGCAGCGAAAGCUGCGCUAAUACCGCAUACGAUCUGAGGAUGAAAGCGGGGGACCGGAAGGCCUAGCUCGAUCGGAGCGGCCGAUGUCAGAUUAGGUAGUUGGUGGGGUAAAGGCUCACCAAGCCAACGAUCUGUAGCUGGUCUGAGAGGACGACCAGCCACACUGGGACUGAGACACGGCCCAGACUCCUACGGGAGGCAGCAGUGGGGAAUUUUGGACAAUGGGCGAAAGCCUGAUCCAGCAAUGCCGCGUGCAGGAAGAAGGCCUUCGGGUUGUAAACUGCUUUUGUACGGAGCGAAAAGGUCUCCUCUAAUACAGGGGGCUCAUGACGGUACCGUAAGAAUAAGCACCGGCUAACUACGUGCCAGCAGCCGCAGUAA